This 468-nucleotide ribosomal RNA is filed under the name uncultured bacterium. RNAcentral's name for it is "partial 16S ribosomal RNA". It matches the Rfam family "Bacterial small subunit ribosomal RNA", at positions 28 to 507 of the family's 1533-position model. The record is from RNAcentral.
GACGAACGCUGGCGGCGUGCUUAACACAUGCAAGUCGAACGGAAAGGCCCUGCUUUGGUGGGGUGCUCGAGUGGCGAACGGGUGAGUAACACGUGAGUAACCUGCCCUUGACGUUGGGAUAACUUCAGGAAACUUGGGCUAAUACCGGAUAGGAGCUCCUGCGGCAUGGUGGGGGUUGGAAAGUUUCGGCGGUUGGGGAUGGACUCGCGGCUUAUGAUCUUGUUGGUGGGGUAGUGGCUGACCAAGGGUUUGACGGGUAGCCGGCAUGAGAGGGUGACCGGCCACAUUGGGACUGAGAUACGGACCAGACUCCUACGGGAGGCAGCAGUGGGGAAUAUUGCACAAUGGGCGGAAGCCUGAUGAAGCAACGCCGCGUGCGGGAUGACGGCCUUCGGGUUGUAAACCGCUUUCGCCUGUGACGAAGCGUGAGUGACGGUAAUGGAUAAAGAAGCACCGGCUAACUACGUG